This 684-nucleotide small RNA is filed under the name Arabidopsis thaliana (thale cress). Its description in RNAcentral is "ATSL033100". The record is from RNAcentral. Lineage: Eukaryota; Viridiplantae; Streptophyta; Magnoliopsida; Brassicales; Brassicaceae.
UUCUAGGCUAGAGGCCAAUCAUAUGUUUAACCAUGAGGUGAUUGUUACUCUUAGACUGUUUGGCUCGGUCUUGCUUGUGGGGGAAUUCGACCACAACACAUUCUCUCAUACAUUUUCAUCACAUAUAAUGAUAUCUAACGUUUCUCCUGAUGCAUCCAUGGUUUGCCUCCACAGAUGAAGAAUCUUGACUCGGACACGCCUAUUCGUUUUGAAAGGCUUGACAUCACUAAGAUACGUUAAACCUAACGGUAAUGUCAUUGAUUAUGUGUAUAGAUGAGAAAGAAAAGUGAUGCUUUAGAAUUGAUGAUAUUGCUUGAGUAUUUAUACGGUUAGGAUUUGGUUCUUAAACCCUAGAGCAACACCGGAUUUUUUUAUACAUGAAAUCAUAACUAAAUAUACUAUCUCAAUAGAAUAUAGGAAUCUUCCUUAAUUGGUUGUGAUUUGCAGAUAUCUUCAAGAAACAGUGAAUAUCUUGGAAAGGAGGCAAAAUAUUGAGCAAGAAAUGUUAAGAAAGAGUGGUUACUGACGUGCAAAUGGGCCAACUGUGAUCAAAACGCCAAAUAAGAAAUAGAAUCGAGCCCCAUUAGAUAGAAACAGGAUCUCCGCGUCUGUUUAACAGGUCAGUUACGGGCGCGACUCAAGUCGGCUGCGAAGAGCACAGAUAAUGACGGUUUUAUCCUUUAU